This 253-nucleotide ribosomal RNA is filed under the name uncultured bacterium. Its description in RNAcentral is "partial 16S ribosomal RNA". It matches the Rfam family "Bacterial small subunit ribosomal RNA", at positions 524 to 776 of the family's 1533-position model. The record is from RNAcentral.
GACGGAGGAUGCAAGUGUUAUCCGGAAUCACUGGGCGUAAAGCGUCUGUAGGUGGUCAAAUAAGUCAACUGUUAAAUCUUGAGGCUCAACCUCAAAAUCGCAGUCGAAACUAUUCGACUAGAGUAUAGUAGGGGUAAAGGGAAUUUCCAGUGGAGCGGUGAAAUGCGUAGAGAUCCGGAGGAACACCAGAGGCGAAGGCGGCAUUCUGGACGACAUCAGACGCUGAGACGCGACAGCACGGGGAGCGAACGGG